Long non-coding RNA from Mytilus trossulus (common blue mussel), 429 nucleotides. RefSeq lists it as uncharacterized. The transcript has 4 exons. Lineage: Eukaryota; Metazoa; Mollusca; Bivalvia; Mytilida; Mytilidae. The record is from RefSeq and is a predicted model, not a curated record.
AUGAAAUCAAUAUAUUGAAAAACUUCACUCUAUUGGAUUUUUACCUAAAAUCGAUAAUAACAGUUCAUCAACGAAGACAAGAAUAUGAGGAAUUCAAAAUGGAAUUUUCCAUGUUUAAGACGAAAUACCUACACUACCUCUUCCAUUGUGUCCAAAAUUACCGGCAUUUGAGAUUAGGGCAGCGACAUUUGCCUUUUCUAGACCACUAAAUGAUACAGAAAAGAACUUUGCAAAAGAAGGAUUCAGAAAAAUGUCUGACGGAUCCAUUGAAUGUGUCUUUUGUGGAAUCGAAAAAUGUGUAAACUUGAGCAUCAAAUGGACAAUUUACGAAGUUGCAAGACUCCACAAUUCAAGCUGUUGGAUGCAAGAACAGAACCUGGAUUACAUUUGUCGGCGAAGCAUUCUGAUAAAUUCACGGAGAUCACACGG